GAGAACAUCAUAGCAAGGAGGAUUUUGCUGUGAGAGGCAAGGAGCCGAAAGACGAGGUUCAGAUUUAUACAUGGAAGGAUGCUACUCUUCACAAGUUAAAUGGUUGUUUUGUUGUAAAAGAGGUUAGUUCUCUCUGUCUCAAUCUCUUUUGCGCACGUGUGCAUGCAUGUGAGGAGGGAUUUUCAUCUUUUCUAAUUCAUGUAUGAUGCAUGCACAAGCCAUCUCCUCCUACCUCCCUUCAUCUUAAAAGCGUAUGUGGCAUAUCAACCCAUUUGCUUGUACCGAUGGUUCAUUUCAAUGCUCGUUGGCUAUAAUCAUGUUUGUCUUCUUUUCUUGAUGGGUUAUCACUAAGAGAAUGAACAAAUGAUUUCUUUUCGUCGUUUCAUUUCACUGCUCCCAUCGACCAAAAAAGAUCAUAUGUGGAGGCCUCACGUCACAUAUAUUUGUUAAAUAGCCACUUUAAUCUCGCAUCUAAGCAUCUGUUGGAUGGGUAAUCUCAAUAUUCACGCAUAGCAUGUUAUUAAUGCAUGCAUCCCCCUACCUAGUGGGACCUAUCAUGAAGUUCUGUUUUCUUCUGGUUGAGAAUGCUCUAUUGCUUAAUGAAGGUGGGCAAGACCGACUCUCAUAGAAAUGUCUAUGGGAAGUUAGAUGACAACAAAGCAUUGGCUCAGCUUGGCUUCCAGAUCGGAGAUUACUUGGAUGUGGCAAUUCUAUGGAGGCUUUACUAUGUCAUAUUUAGGUAAUUAGGCUGCACAUUGUUAGGUUAUAUUCAGUAGGCUUGAGAUGUAUGGUAUGAGAAGCUGGACCUGAGAUCUGCUUAUUUUGUAUUAUUAGAAACUAUAAAGGGAUGGGUAGGACAGCAGACUAACAAUCAUCAUGUGCGUAGAGUUUCAACAUGUUGUAGAACAGGCUGGUACGUAUUGCAAUUUGAAGAAUACGUGACAGGAUUUGCGCUGUACGUUACAUCGACAUCAUAUUCCGCAAUGUUUUCCAAA
Long non-coding RNA from Populus euphratica (Euphrates poplar), 995 nucleotides. RefSeq lists it as uncharacterized. The transcript has 2 exons. NCBI's taxonomy places the organism in Eukaryota, Viridiplantae, Streptophyta, Magnoliopsida, Malpighiales, Salicaceae. The record is from RefSeq and is a predicted model, not a curated record.